CAGCCGCCGCGGGAAAACGUAGGGUGCAAGCGUUGUCCGGAAUUAUUGGGCGUAAAGAGCUCGUAGGCGGUUUGUCGCGUCUGCUGUGAAAUCCCGAGGCUCAACCUCGGGCUUGCAGUGGGUACGGGCAGACUAGAGUGCGGUAGGGGAGAUUGGAAUUCCUGGUGUAGCGGUGGAAUGAGCAGAUAUCAGGAGGAACACCGAUGGCGAAGGCAGAUCUCUGGGCCGUAACUGACGCUGAGGAGCGAAAGCGUGGGGAGCGAACAGGAUUAGAUACCCCAGUAGUCCCUGUCUCUUAUAC
This 301-nucleotide ribosomal RNA is filed under the name uncultured bacterium. RNAcentral describes it as "partial 16S ribosomal RNA". It matches the Rfam family "Bacterial small subunit ribosomal RNA", at positions 509 to 807 of the family's 1533-position model. The record is from RNAcentral.